Cyprinus carpio carpio is the source of this 607-nucleotide long non-coding RNA. NCBI's taxonomy places the organism in Eukaryota, Metazoa, Chordata, Actinopteri, Cypriniformes, Cyprinidae. The record is from Ensembl.
GGUUUGUGAAUGCGGAAGGGUGUUUUUCCUCUAAAUGCCUCCUGAAUAUUAAGCUCCAUCCCUUGGGUGUUGUUUGAAAUGCUCCCGUAGUUUUAUCUCCAUAAUGACUCCAUCAAAUUACCUUAGCUCAGUGUUACAAUUUCUCAGCUCCCUAUAAUCAUCUGGUUCAGGAAUUUCGACUUUCUCCGGUCGACUGGCUUUGCACCGAUUGUAUACUGAUGGAUCUGCAGUAUGGCUGAAGCAUAAAUUAGAGGCGGCAGAUCGCCUCGGGCUGACCUGUGUAAGCUGUCUCUGUAGGCAUCAUAGGUGGACUCCCGUUGCGAAGACUGUUCCCUAAGGAAGGCAAUUUAAUUAUGCUUUUUCUGAAGAUACCUCAUUUGUCCAAAUUCCAAAGGGGGGUUCACACUAACAACGAUUUGCACUGUCAAAGCGAUCAUCACUCAUUUUGAAUUAAAUAGAAAUGCUGACUUAAAAAAAUAUUUGAACAACAAGUAGUUCCAGUCCUCAAAUUUGAUUGGCAGCACUGGGUUUUUCCAGUGUUGUUAUCCAAACUUGUCUGUGUUUGCAUGUUCCAGACAGAAGUAGGUGGCGACAAGUGACUGGGCUG